CAAUGCUCAAAUAUAUGCAUGUGGUUACAGUUACUGUGUUGAUUUCAAAACAUCAGCAUGGCAGGCUCUCUGUCACGAGAAAUACAAAAUAAUAAUAAAAAUAGUUGGUUACUUCUCUCCGAUUUCACAUGGACAGUUGGAUUAUGGGCUACAUGUGUAGUUUCAAUUCUAACUUUAUUUUGAUUGACUCCAUGGUUAGUUGUUCACACACUGUUGGAUGCUCAGUUCAGUUAAAACAAUAAUGUUGUAUGAGUAUAAGUAAUAAUACUAAUGUGCUUUCACUCAUGCUACGUCCCCAGUAACAACUCUCUAAGACGGUUGUGCUCAAAUUUAUAGUUCCUGGUUAAUGUUUUUUAUCUUUUUACUUUCUGCUGGUUUGUUUCUUUCAGUUUGUAAGUGGCCUUGGAAUCCUGUUCACUGUUGGAAACUGCUGGACCCUGCUGUUGUUGUUUGGUUCAUAAGGUACGCUCUUGAGCAAUCGAGCAAGCUGCUUAGCUUUUGAUAUAUUCCUUUUUGCCAAACUUGAUGUGUCGAGCUUUGAGCUACAAACUUGAUGGAAUGUGCUUGGCCAUGGAAGAGGGGGUGGCACUAUCUUUCCUCCUUCAGAUCAGGGUGUUCCUCCUGCUGUGAUUGAGUCUGGUGUUUUUCCUCGCUUGUGGAGCUUCUCUUGUACCCGUCGACUUCUGUUCUCAUUGCAGCUCUGCGCAUGGUGGGUAACAUUGCCACUGGUGAUGAUUUGCAGACUCGGGUUCGUGUGAGGCGGGUCCCUGUGAAGUAUAUCGACAAGGCAGAUGAAUUAGCCACUUGUUAGUAUGUUUAAUGAUUAUGUCUCCGUAGUUGGCUCUUCUUAUGUGUUCUCGCUUUUGUAUCGAACUUCUUAUGUGUUCUCCGUAGUUGGCGGGUCCCUGUGAAGUAUAUCGACAAGGCAGAUGAAUAAUUUUGAAUGGUCGUCUUUUA
This is a long non-coding RNA of Triticum aestivum (bread wheat), 957 nucleotides long. RefSeq lists it as uncharacterized. The transcript has 6 exons. The record is from RefSeq and is a predicted model, not a curated record. NCBI's taxonomy places the organism in Eukaryota, Viridiplantae, Streptophyta, Magnoliopsida, Poales, Poaceae.